CCUUCUGUCUCCCUGUCACCUUCUCACAAGGGGACACCCGUUCUGGGUUGGAUCUCCAGCAGCCACUGGCAGGGGGUUCCUGUGCCAAUAGUUCUCAUCAUCAGUAAAGAGCGUUUCCUUCUCUGGAAUUGUGUGUGCCGGUGAAAUUACAAAUGUGGUCUAGAAAGCUUUGGAUAUCCGUGACUUUUAUCCAGGCAACUGAAGUCCUCCUCAGCCAUCUCCAUUGAUUUCUGCUCUGAAGUCCCCCUCCCUCCCCCCGCAGCCCAGGAGCAUUGAUGGGCAGUUGCUGCGUUGCCUAGGAAGGCCACUUGGCAGCCAUCCUUCCUGGGACUGGUAGAGGACCAGAAUCUGCCUGGCUCCACCUUCAGAGACAGCCAGUCCACUUCCUCCUUUUUUGACACUGUUGUCUAAUAAAUGGUCCCCAGCCUAAGGUCCUCUAAGGAAACAACGCCAUCUGGUGGAAAAUGACCGCAGGCCUUAGUUCAAGAAACAUUGAUAAAUCCUGAUGAGCCCUAAUGGAGAUGGUCAAGUGUCUGUGGGUGGGUCCACAAGCCGGGACUUCAGCAUCUCCGAGGUGGGUUUCCUCACUGUACAGAUGAGGAAACUGAGAUGAGAGGGGGAAAGAUCUGAGAUAGUCCCAUGAGGGUAGAUGUGAUGCCGAAGUGGAACUUGGAGCUCAUCCAAUCCAGACCCUUUUUGCAUGGAUGGGGAAACGAAGGUCCAGAAAUGGGAAAUGACUUAGGAGGGUGGGUCACAGAGACCCUGGGCAUCAUCCAGCCCAAUCAGCCAUUUUACAGAUGAGAAACUGAGGUCUAGACAAGGAAAGUGAUGGGAUCACACAACCAUCAGCAACCGAACAGGAAUGGGGCUGGGGAUUCUGAGCAGAAAUAGAAUGACAUUUCCAUCAUCCCCCAAUGGCUCCAUUCCCCUCUGUCUCACCAACUUUUCCAUCUCAGUGUAUGUUUGAAUUUGGAGACUCUUAUCUGUAUUGUAUGAUAAAUAAUAUAUAAAUAAAUGAGUUAUAUAUGUA
Molecule: long non-coding RNA, 1030 nt
Organism: Antechinus flavipes (yellow-footed antechinus)
Lineage: Eukaryota; Metazoa; Chordata; Mammalia; Dasyuromorphia; Dasyuridae
Exons: 2
Source: RefSeq, a predicted model, not a curated record